Molecule: ribosomal RNA, 155 nt
Filed under: Ranunculus trichophyllus
Lineage: Eukaryota; Viridiplantae; Streptophyta; Magnoliopsida; Ranunculales; Ranunculaceae
Also listed under: 15 other names
Description: 5.8S ribosomal RNA
Rfam family: 5.8S ribosomal RNA
About the family: 5.8S ribosomal RNA (5.8S rRNA) is a component of the large subunit of the eukaryotic ribosome. It is transcribed by RNA polymerase I as part of the 45S precursor that also contains 18S and 28S rRNA.
Source: RNAcentral
AACGACUCUCGGCAACGGAUAUCUCGGCUCUUGCAUCGAUGAAGAACGUAGCGAAAUGCGAUACUUGGUGUGAAUUGCAGAAUCCCGUGAACCAUCGAGUUUUUGAACGCAAGUUGCGCCCGAUACCAUUAGGUUGAGGGCACGUCUGCCUGGGC